This 303-nucleotide long non-coding RNA is filed under the name Struthio camelus australis. RNAcentral describes it as "lncRNA (ENSSCUG00000002383.1)". The record is from RNAcentral. Lineage: Eukaryota; Metazoa; Chordata; Aves; Struthioniformes; Struthionidae.
CACAGUGGCCUGGAAACUGGAUCAAGGCAAGCCUUGUCAAGGAAAGUGGACCUUUAUGAAGUGAGCCUGGAGUCUUUACUCACUUCUCAGCCACUGCCUGAUAAAUACCAAAAAGGACGGGGGAGAGGGAAAGUCUGAACCACCCGUCCUAAGAAACUAGCCAAAAUUUGAGGAGUGCAAUCAGGAAAGUGCUCUCAGAAGACAUGACUGCUCCAGUGGCUGGACUCCCAGGCUGAGAGACAAUCCCUCUUCAUUCCUCCCACUGCAUUGCUCCAUACUACUGAAGCAUUCUAGAGUGGGCUU